Molecule: unclassified non-coding RNA, 529 nt
Filed under: Hevea brasiliensis (rubber tree)
Lineage: Eukaryota; Viridiplantae; Streptophyta; Magnoliopsida; Malpighiales; Euphorbiaceae
Source: RNAcentral
AACAAGAUGGAGUAAAUGUGAUAUCUGCAUACCCAUAGAACUUACAUUCUCAAAUACAUGAUUACCAAUAUGAAAACAAGCUCAUCUUUUGAUAACUAACAGUUUUCUGUAUAAAGGAAAGAGGAAACAUUGGUGAAGAGUGCUGAGAAUGCCUACAAAAUGCUGUAGACUAAAUAUGUAUGAUGUAAUCCCCUAAAAUGUUCCAUCAUAGGAAAAGAAUCAACAUGGUCUCUUUGAAAGAAGUCUUAAAGCAAUCUUCUUUUUCUAAAGCAAGUGAUAUUCAAAUAUAUAUGAGAAAAACUACGUCUGUAUUUUCAAGGUAAUUAAAAUAAAAUUGAAUGAAAUCUUCCAAGCUCACGGCAUAUCAAAUUCUAGUACAUCAACUGACUAAAACUCUUAGUGAGUAACACUGGAUUACUAGAAAUCAGAGAAGCUAAAAGCAGCAACUCUUGUCAGAUGCCGAUAUAUUGGUCAAUCAAAAUCUUUCAAGGAGUAGAAAUGGCUUUUGAAUUGUUGAUGUUCACACCAA